AUAUUUCAUUGGCCAGCAUAGAUAUAAAAUUGAACUACAUAGAAAAGAUUACCUUGACCAGUGCAUAAGAAUGACAGGGAAAUUCAUCAAGUGUUCCAUAAUUUU
Cavia aperea (Brazilian guinea pig) is the source of this 105-nucleotide small nuclear RNA. The record is from Ensembl. Lineage: Eukaryota; Metazoa; Chordata; Mammalia; Rodentia; Caviidae.